Aquila chrysaetos chrysaetos is the source of this 118-nucleotide long non-coding RNA. RefSeq lists it as uncharacterized. Lineage: Eukaryota; Metazoa; Chordata; Aves; Accipitriformes; Accipitridae. The transcript is spliced from 2 exons. The record is from RefSeq and is a predicted model, not a curated record.
GUUCAGCAUCUUCCUUAAUGAUCUGGUUGAUGGGGCAGAUUCAACAAGGAGAAAUGCAAAGUCCUGCAUAUGGGGAGGAACAACCCCAGGCACCAACAUAUGCUGGGGGCCACUCAGC